This 452-nucleotide ribosomal RNA is filed under the name uncultured bacterium. RNAcentral describes it as "bacterial SSU rRNA". It matches the Rfam family "Bacterial small subunit ribosomal RNA", at positions 10 to 507 of the family's 1533-position model. The record is from RNAcentral.
AGUUUGAUCAUGGCUACAGAACGAACGCUGGCGGCAGGCCUAACACAUGCAAGUCGAGCGAACCCUUCGGGGUUAGCGGCGGACGGGUUAGUAACGCGUGGGAAUAUACCCUUUGGUACGGAAUAGCCUCGGGAAACUGAGAGUAAUACCGUAUGUGCCCUUCGGGGGAAAGAUUUAUCGCCAAAGGAUUAGCCCGCGUUGGAUUAGGUAGUUGGUGGGGUAAUGGCCUACCAAGCCUACGAUCCAUAGCUGGUUUGAGAGGAUGAUUAGCAACACUGGGACUGAGACACGGCCCAGACUCCUACGGGAGGCAGCAGUGGGGAAUCUUAGACAAUGGGCGCAAGCCUGAUCUAGCCAUGCCGCGUGGACGAUGAAGGCCUUAGGGUUGUAAAGUCCUUUCAGAUGGGAAGAUAAUGACGGUACCAUCAGAAGAAGCCCCGGCUAACUCCGUG